GUUAGAUACAACACUCACAUUGUACAAGUUAUAUGGAACAGGAUUAUUACUUACAGAUAGGUGGCAAGGGACAACAGAAGCCCAGGAUCCACAGUGAGCUGGUCAGCCGAGGCUCUGGAGAGCUGUCGGGGGUGGAUGGAGUCCUGACUGAACAUGCCACACUUGGACUGCAGCUUAGGGAUCCCAAAAGGCAACCCACCUUGAGUUAACUCAGGGGACAUGUGAGUUGCUGGGCUAAAGCAUUGAAGGGCGUCUUGCUUCUAAGAUAAAGACUAAAGCUCAGGCUAUCCUGAGCAAUUCUUCUCUAACUCAAGAAGUUCUCUUCCCUAGGAGGGCAAAUAACAAAGCCUGGUCUAUUUCUAGCAGUUCCUCCCUGUCUCAGGAUAUUGCAUGCUCACACAUGCUUCAACUAUUCUGAGAACUACAAUCAACAAGACAGAAGAAGACUAGGUCUGUCAAGGCUAUACAGAAACUGUCCAACACUUGGACUUUGCACUGUUGCUGAAUGUGGUUAUUAGCUCCGAGAGUUUUUUUUUUAAUAUUUUGGGGUUUUCUUUAUAAAGGAUAGAUCAUCUACAAAUACUUCUUGCUUUUCAAUUUAGAUGAUGUUUCCUUUCCUGCCCAAUUUAUCUGGUUAAAACGUCUGAUACACUGUUGAAUAGAAGAGGCAAGGGCACAUGUUCAUGUCUUGUUCCUGAUAUUGGGAGAAAGCAUCCCGUUUUUCACCAGUAAGUAUGAUAUUGGCCCUGGUUUUUCUUAGAUUGCUUUGGAAGAAAUCAGUAUUAUGUAAGAUUCAGAAUUCAAGAUGUACAAUGACAGAUGAAAUAAGGUGAUGGCACAAGGAAGGUUCUGAGAGUAUGUAGAUAUAUUUAUGCAAAUUAUAUAAGAAAACUGAGGGAAUUCAUUUCUUGACAUGUCAUUUUCUCAACAAAUUAUGAGAUGUAUACAUGUUCUCACUCGUAAGUGAGAGCUAAGCUAUGCAUACACAAAAGCAUAUAGAGUGGUAUAAUGGACACUUGAGACUCGGAAGUGGAGAGGCUGGAAGGGGGUGAAGAGUGAAAAACUACCUAUUGGAUAGUAAAUGUACACUAUUUGGGUGGUGAGUGCACUAAAAGCCCACACUCCACUACUAUAUCAUUCAUCCAUGUAACAAAAUGUCAUUGUACCCCUAAAAUUAUUGAAAUUAAUUUUGUAAGUACAUGAUGUCUCAUUAGAUUUCAAAAGAAGAAGAAGCUUGAAAUGGAAGUUUGGGUCUGUUGUAAUAAAACAGAAUAUAUACUUUGAAGUGGCUGUCAUGUCUCAGUGUUUAUGGGAGCCUAAAAAAGUCAAACUCAGAAGUAGUAAGUAGCAUGGUGACUACCAGAAGCUGGGGUGAAGGUGGUGGGCGGGGAAAGAGGAAAUGUUGGUUAAAAGUUUCAAAGUUUCAGUUAGACAGGAGGAAUCAUCUCUUGCACAGCAGAGUAAUUAUAGGUAAUGGCGUAUAAUUUCUAAAUGCUAAAACAGUGGAUUUUAAAUGUUCUUGCCACAAAUAAAUAAGUAUGUGAGGUGGUGGAUAUGUUAAUUAGCCUUAUUUGAUCAUUCCACAGUGUAUACAUGUAUCAAAACAUCACGUUGUAUCCCAUAAAUAGAUACAAUUAGUAUUUGUCAAUUAAAAAUGAAAAAAGAAGACAAUGGUAAUUGUGCUCAAUGGUUUCAUACUCUAGAGGGGAGUGGGAUGUAAGACAGUAUAGAAACCAACAUUGUAUAAGGCAGAAUAUUUAAAAAUAAUACAUCAUAUUAAAACCAGCUAAGACUUUCGGAGUAAAAGAUUAUGACGGCUGUUUACAAAGACCACAGCAGGGAGUUCCAGGUAGUUUCUGUCUAAGUAAGCUUUAACCACUUAGAAACUGGGAGUGUGAAAAGGGUCUUUCUGCAGGCUGACUUUUUAUUGGAUACAUUCUAGAUCCUCGAGUUGUAAAGUCCAAGGGUUAUUUCCUGAAUUCUUGCUCUAAAUUUGCAGCAUUCAUUUCUUAGUGUUUAUUUUACAUUCAGAUGACAGCCACAUUUGCCAGAAUCAAGACACUUCUAUGACUUUUAUUCAAUUACAGCAUAUAGAUACAUAAUAUGUUCUUUUAUAUUGCAAACAAACAUAUUUUUCCAUCCUUGAUGAAUCUUUCGAUCUACUUUUGUAGCCUUGCUGCUUUCUGAUUGAAAAGUCAAAUUUUAACAUGUUUAAAAUGUGUUUCUAGGAUGUGUUAAUCAUAUGAUGGCAUGGUGAUUAAUUGAGAGAUGUCCAUGUUGUAACAAGUUUUUCCAAUCUUCAGUUGUUAUUCUUUUAGUAAUUAAUGAGUCUAUAAAGAGAGGACUUGCUAAAGGUAAAGCUUGGAUCGUUAAGGUGACAUUUUGUUAAGGUUAAAGCAAAUUAUAUAAUCCUCUGAAGGAGCGCUUCUGGUUUUCCCAGCUCUGGCCAGGACAGCCUAUCUGUGCAGGAGGCAUUGCUGGCACCCCGUGGGGACUGAGGACCAAGGAGGAGCUGCUCCCCCACACACGGUUCGUACUUCUGCUCUGUGAAGAGAGACAACUGUGCCCUGUCACCUUCACUGAACUAUGAGGUGUGUCCUGAUGCUGUGCAUGACAUCUUGGGUUUGCAGAACUGUUCACUCUCUCCCUGGAUUUAAAAUGAGUUCAAAUUAUAAGACCUUCAUUUUAUUGGUAAUAUAUUAAAAUUUGGGGGAAAGAACUAGUUUUAAAACUUUCUAUUAAGCCUAAAGUAGUGGCAAAUUUCAUAAUUAGAUUGCACAAUAUUGGAUAGCUUAAAAAUUUCAAAAUUGCCAAUUUGUUACUUGUCUGUAUUUGAUGUAUACUGUAAAAUACAAAAUGCACUUUAUGUUUUCCAUCGUGCAACAGUGAAACACUGGAGAUUCAUUCAAUCAUAUAACGGGUAUUUAUUGAAUGUCCAUGAUACGUCAGGCAACUUGGAUUGCUAAGAUAAAUAAGAUGUUUAAGUAGUGUCAUUUAGUGUUACAGAUAUGAUGACAGAAGUAUGUGCUGUAUAUAUUAAUGCUUCUGAAGCAAAGUGUGGGCAGGCAGAUUACUUUAUAAAAAGAAAUAAAAGUCAUCUCAAUUAGAAGGAAAGAAGUAAAACUAGCUCUAUUUGCACUUGAAAUUAUCUUUCACAUAUAAGAUCCUAAAGCAACCAGAAAGAAGCCAUUAGAAUGAAGAGCUGGUAAGUUUAGCAAGGGUUUGGUAUACUCAGUCAAUAUACAAAAAUCAAUCUGCCUUUAUGCACUAGCAAUGAAACAAUCCAAAAUUUAAAUGAAAACAAUUCCAUUUACAACAAUAGCAUCCAAAAUGAAAUGCUUAAGAACACAUUUAGCAAAAGAAGUGCAAGACUUCUACACUGAAAACUAAAAAACAUCGUUAUGUGUGAAGGGGAGGGAAGAAAGGAGGCUAGAGGAUAACUUAAGAAUUAAGGGCAUCUUAUUUUGGGUUGAUAAUGUUGAGGAUGCUUAUGACUGAAAGGGAGUUAUUCAUUCUUCAGUGAUUUCUUAAUUUGAAAUAUGGAACCAAUGUUUCUGCAUAACAUAAACAUACAAAUGAAUUAAAGUGAAAAUUCUAAGGUUCCCAUUAUUGCUAUGCUUAUGUUUAUGAGAGAAUUUUAAGAUUUUAUCAAGUUCCCAAAGUACUCGAAAAAGAAAAAAAAAUCAUGGUGGGUAUUAUAUAGCUUAAACAUUCCAGUUUGCCCAGUCUUGAUAAAAAUCACUUAAAAAAACAGAAAAAAAUUGAAUUUUUUUAGGUUUGAUUUGGUUGUUGUCAUUUCAAAAUCAAGGUUCCCAAUCAGCUUUCUGAUUGCUAUCUGAUAAAGGUAAUUAAAAAUAGAUACAUACAGCACAUUAGAGCAUUACUGCUUAUGAAAGGAUUCCAAAUAAAGUGUUCAAAUACAGGGUGUCUGCUGAACAUCUAAUUUGUGCCAGGACCAUAGUUGAGACUGAGGGGAACAGACACUCUCAGAAUCCACUUAUGACAGCUCCAGCAGAAACGGGGUUUCACCAUGUUAGCCAAGAUGGUCUCGAUCUCCUGACCUCGCGAUCCGCCCGCCUUGGCCUCCCAAAGUGCUGGGAUUAUGCAUUCUCUCUUUACAUCACAGAUGACCAUGACCUUGGAUAUGGAGUCCACUCAAAAGUAAUCUGAACUAAUAAACAAAUUCUGCAAGGUUGAAGAAUACAAGGGAGAUAUGGAAUCACCAAAGAAUACUGACACAGAAGAACCAAGUAGGAGAGUGUGCAAUUCCCAGUCUCAUAUCUCAUUACAAAACCAAACUAAACAAGGCAUUGGCACAAGAAUAGACAUACAGAUCAAUGGAACAGAACUGAGACCCCAGAAAUAAAACCAAGUGGUCAGCUGACUUUUUGAAAGCUUGCCAAGACCAUCAAAUGGGGAAAAAUUUUUUUAAUAUACGUUGCAGGGAUAAUUGGAUAUAAACAUCCAAAAGAAUGAACUUGGAUGCUUAUCUUGCACCAUAUGCAAAAAUAACUGAAAAUGAAUUCAAGGCUAUAACUAUUAACUCAGAAAAAAAAAAUGAGCUGCAUUUUCAUGAUCCUAGGUUUGGCAAAAUACUCUUAAGUAUAACUCCAAAAAAAAACCCACCAAAAAACCUAGAUAAGUUAAAUUUCAUCAAAAUUAAACAUUUUGGGCAUCAAAGGGCAUCAUUAAUAAAAUGAAUAGACUUACUACAGAUUGUGAGAAAAUGCUUGCAUAUCAUACGUCUGGUAAGCAAAUUGUUUCUAGAGUAAUAUAUUAAAAAACUCUUACAACUCAAUAAGAAGAAGACAAAUAACACAAACUAAAAACUGGCAAAGGAUCUGAAUAGAUCUUUCUCCCAGCAAGAUCUACAAAUAGCUGAUAAUCACAUGAAGAGGUGCCUGGCAUCAUUAGUCAUCAGGAAAAUGCAAAUCAAAAAACCACAGCUAGGUACUACGUCACACCCACUAGGAUGGCCAGAACCCAAAUGACAGAUAGUAGGUAUCAGAAAAGAUAUGGAGAAAGUGGAACCCUUAUACACUGUUGGCAGAAUUUGAAAUGAUACAUCCACCUUGUAAAACAGUUUGGACAUUCCUCAAAGGAUUAAACAUAGAGUUACCAUAUGAUCCAAAAACCCUACUCUUUGAUACAUACACAAGAAGAAUGGAAACGUAUAUUCACACAAAAGCUGAAACAUGAAUGUUUAUAGCAGCAUUAUUUAUAUAGCCAAAAGAUAGAAACGACCUAAUUCCUGCCUGCGGUUGAUGCUGAUAAACAAAAUGUCCUAAAUGUCCCCAACUGCAGUGAUGGUUGCAUAGUUCAUGAAUAUACCAAAAUCAAUUGACUUGUUAACUUUCUAGUAUGUGAGUCAUAUUUUAAUGAACUGUUAAGAAAAUUUAAAAACAUAAUGAGUAGGAGAGACCUUCAUGUUAAGAAGAUGAGAGGCUGCCAGGCGCGGUGGCUCACGCCUGUAAUCUCAG
Molecule: long non-coding RNA, 5480 nt
Filed under: Homo sapiens (human)
Lineage: Eukaryota; Metazoa; Chordata; Mammalia; Primates; Hominidae
Description: non-protein coding lnc-PPDPFL-2:1
Source: RNAcentral